UACGUAGGUGGCAAGCGUUGUCCGGAUUUACUGGGCGUAAAGAGCGCGCAGGCGGUCGUUCAAGUCGCGUGUGAAAGCCCCCGGCUCAACUGGGGAGGGUCACGCGAUACUGAUCGACUCGAAGGCAGGAGAGGGUAGUGGAAUUCCCGGUGUAGUGGUGAAAUGCGUAGAUAUCGGGAGGAACGCCAGUGGCGAAGGCGACUACCUGGCCUGUUUCUUGACGCUGAGGCGCGAAAGCUAGGGGAGCAAACGGG
Molecule: ribosomal RNA, 254 nt
Filed under: uncultured bacterium
Lineage: Bacteria
Description: partial 16S ribosomal RNA
Rfam family: Bacterial small subunit ribosomal RNA
Source: RNAcentral